RNAcentral lists this long non-coding RNA (414 nucleotides) under Daucus carota (carrot). RNAcentral describes it as "long non-coding RNA (DCAR_LNC000981)". The record is from RNAcentral. Lineage: Eukaryota; Viridiplantae; Streptophyta; Magnoliopsida; Apiales; Apiaceae.
UAUAUUGCAUGUUCUGAUUAUUCUGUCCAGAUUAUGGUAUUGCUUAUACUGAAAACCCUUCUCAAAUAAACUCUUAUUUCUGAGAAUGAAACCCAUGAUUGUUUUCUACUUUCAAGUCUUUGAAAAGCCAAACACCCAAAUACUCCCAAUUUCUAUUACAAGUAUUCUGAUCCAUCCCUUCCAACCCUCAAGAUUUUAAGAAUGUCAGCUUUACAAAUUAAUUCGAAGUUCAGAUUGUCAUUGAAGCAUGUGUUGCUCAGUGAUAGUUAGAACCUAGAAUGAGUUGGGAUCUUCUUGAUUAUUCAACCCGCCAUUGUCAUGCUGGUUUAGCAGGCUAAAUUCAGUUGCUUAGCCGAUAAUGGAGGAUACUGAAUAGUUAGGAAUUUCCUGAACUAUGAUUUAUCAAAAGACGGA